GUGAACGCUGGCGGUAGGCCUAACACAUGCAAGUCGCACGGCAGCACAGUAAGAGCUUGCUCUUACGGGUGGCGAGUGGCGGACGGGUGAGGAAUACAUCGGAAUCUACUUUUUCGUGGGGGAUAACGUAGGGAAACUUACGCUAAUACCGCAUACGACCUACGGGUGAAAGCAGGGGAUCUUCGGACCUUGCGCGAUUGAAUGGGCCGAUGUCGGAUUAGCUAGUUGGCGGGGUAAAGGCCCACCAAGGCGACGAUCCGUAGCUGGUCUGAGAGGAUGAUCAGCCACACUGGAACUGAGACACGGUCCAGACUCCUACGGGAGGCAGCAGUGGGGAAUAUUGGACAAUGGGCGCAAGCCUGAUCCAGCCAUACCGCGUGGGUGAAGAAGGCCUUCGGGUUGUAAAGCCCUUUUGUUGGGAAAGAAAAGCAGCAGGUUAAUACCCCGCUGUUCUGACGGUACCCAAAGAAUAAGCACCGGCUAACUUCGUG
Molecule: ribosomal RNA, 491 nt
Filed under: uncultured bacterium
Lineage: Bacteria
Description: partial 16S ribosomal RNA
Rfam family: Bacterial small subunit ribosomal RNA
Source: RNAcentral